GUUUCGGUGUCCGGAACCAUCCAGCUAAUGAUAUUUUGUUGUAUGUAGCGGGUCACACAGAGAAACGAAGAGAAACUCAACUGCCAUUGGCACUGCACGGCGGCUAAUCCCUCAAACACAUUGGAGAAUACUGGAGGCACGCCUACUCGACGACCCGUUCGACGAUUCAUUGUGCGUCCGUGUUGCGAGUC
Non-coding RNA from Caenorhabditis elegans, 191 nucleotides. Lineage: Eukaryota; Metazoa; Nematoda; Chromadorea; Rhabditida; Rhabditidae. The record is from Ensembl.